GCCCGCCUAGCUCAAUCGGAUAGAGCGUCAGACUCUUAUGAAGCCAAGAUAACGAUGUAGGCUAUCUGAAGGCUGCGAGUUCGACCCUCGCGGUGGGCU
Molecule: non-coding RNA, 99 nt
Organism: Lentinula boryana
Lineage: Eukaryota; Fungi; Basidiomycota; Agaricomycetes; Agaricales; Omphalotaceae
Source: the annotation of a GenBank genome assembly